This 253-nucleotide ribosomal RNA is filed under the name uncultured bacterium. RNAcentral's name for it is "partial 16S ribosomal RNA". It matches the Rfam family "Bacterial small subunit ribosomal RNA", at positions 524 to 776 of the family's 1533-position model. The record is from RNAcentral.
UACGUAGGGUGCGAGCGUUGUCCGGAAUUAUUGGGCGUAAAGAGCUCGUAGGCGGUCUGUCGCGUCGGUCGUGAAAACUUGGGGCUUAACCCUGAGCUUGCGGUCGAUACGGGCAUGACUGGAGUUCGGUAGGGGAGACUGGAAUUCCUGGUGUAGCGGUGAAUGCGCAGAUAUCAGGAGGAACACCGGUGGCGAAGGCGGGUCUCUGGGCCGAUACUGACGCUGAGGAGCGAAAGCGUGGGGAGCGAACAGG